This 1515-nucleotide ribosomal RNA is filed under the name Triticum aestivum (bread wheat). RNAcentral describes it as "partial small subunit ribosomal RNA". The record is from RNAcentral. Lineage: Eukaryota; Viridiplantae; Streptophyta; Magnoliopsida; Poales; Poaceae.
AUGGUCAGGGUUCAAACCUUGUACAGGUGGAUUACUUGUGGGGUUUUCGACAUUAAUAUUCGUGAGGUGCUGGGUUAUUCUGGAGAUCUAGGGCUAGACGAGCCUAAAUUUAGUUUAUUCGAGGGCCAAUGUGAGACACUAGAAAUUCAGGUAAUAUUGGAUGAUGAAAUAUUGAAGUUAGUCCAAGCUGUUAAAGUAAAGAAAGGCGGCGUGGAGUCAAAAUCAAAGGGGGUGGCUUGUGCUGUCUCGAAGGUUGUGGAUCGUGGUGUGGAGAGUGAUGAUGAUUCUUUUAUGCCUCCGGUGCCUAAAAAGUGUUUGCGGCCCAUAGCUGCUAGUCCUAUCAAAGUGGCAGUGAAAUCGCCUCUUGUUCUGAGCGAUGAUGAUGAUGAUGAUUUUGUUUUGCAUGGUGAGAGAACAGUGUUCACCAGGAGCAAAUCAGUGGAGGAGCCAUUGGUAGUGUCUAAUAAAAGGCUAGUUUCUCUGUCAACUAGGCUACGAAUGCCUGUGCAUGCACUCAAGCCAUUCAUGUUUCCAUUCGUGGCUGUUGCAAAACAAACUUUGGACCUAAUACUUAGCAAGGAGUUUCUUGACAAAUAUGCAGAGGUCCCUCUGUUUAAGUGCACUCCUCCAACUGGCGACGAUUUUAUAGUUGAUGCUAAAUGUCUGGUUACCUGUUUUGGUCCCGCUGGCUGCAUCGAUACUGAGUUGAUGGAUCUUCUGAUCAGCUAUUGGAAGGGAAGCCCUGAGUGCAACCAUGUGUAUAAAUCUGGAGAUAGGGUGUUGCUCAGCCCGUAUGUGAUAAAUUAUCUUCUGGAGAUUGAUCCAUACCAUCGACCAGUUGAUGAAGAUGGGCAGGAGGUCUCGGGGCCGCCUUUCAAUGUUAAACUUGCUGCUCAGAAGUUCAAGUUAUACAUUAAAGAGAACCCGCUCGCUGCAAACCUGAUCAAGCUCCCAUAUUGGAAUCUGAAUCAUUUCACACUGUAUACUAUGAACAAGUAUCGUGAGUCCCUGGAUAUCCAUGACUCAUGGAGAUACACUGGGCGUAACCUUUCAAGGAACAGAUUCCAUGGAGAACGUGUUGAAAUCAUAUGUGGUCUUUUUUCCACUUUUUUUCCUUUUUUACGUUCCACGUGCGUGCUGUUCUUUAAAGUAUUUGCAAGUCUCAAUUUUUUCUGUUUUGCACAGAUGUCCAUGAUGUCGUUGUUGAUGAAGGAGGUGUAUGGCGAAGCUGGAUACAACUCUUCAAGGCAGCCCCGUUGGGAACAUCUGGCAGAUAGAUGUAGCUAUGCAAAAAUGCCAGAGCAAGGGGUUAACGAAUGUGGCUUUUACAUGUUAAAAGCUGCUUAUCUGUAUGAUGGCACCAAGCUAGUAGAGGAAGUGAAGAAGCGCGAUCCACAUUCUGCCUACUGGAAGGCCGAGUGCCUUUUUUAUGUUCUUUUUCACCCUAGUAAUGAGGUUCGGCGCGACCAGUGGCCGCGGGAGAUGGCUGACAUUGCUAAGUUGUUACAAGCGUAG